GAUGAACGCUGGCGGCGUGCCUAAUACAUGCAAGUCGAGCGAACAGACGAGGAGCUUGCUCCUCUGACGUUAGCGGCGGACGGGUGAGUAACACGUGGAUAACCUACCUAUAAGUCUGGGAUAACUUCGGGAAACCGGAGCUAAUACCGGAUAACAUGUUGAACCGCAUGGUUCAACAGUGAAAGACGGUCUUGCUGUCACUUAUAGAUGGAUCCGCGCCGCAUUAGCUAGUUGGUAAGGUAACGGCUUACCAAGGCAACGAUGCGUAGCCGACCUGAGAGGGUGAUCGGCCACACUGGAACUGAGACACGGUCCAGACUCCUACGGGAGGCAGCAGUAGGGAAUCUUCCGCAAUGGGCGAAAGCCUGACGGAGCAACGCCGCGUGAGUGAAGAAGGUCUUCGGAUCGUAAAACUCUGUUAUUAGGGAAGAACAAAUGUGUAAGUAACUAUGCACGUCUUGACGGUACCUAAUCAGAAAGCCACGGCUAACUACGUG
Molecule: ribosomal RNA, 497 nt
Filed under: uncultured bacterium
Lineage: Bacteria
Description: partial 16S ribosomal RNA
Rfam family: Bacterial small subunit ribosomal RNA
Source: RNAcentral